AGGGCCAUAGCUCAGUGGUAGAGCAUCUGCUUUGCAUGCAGAAGGUCCCGGGUUCAAUCCCUGGUGACUCCA
Molecule: non-coding RNA, 72 nt
Organism: Podarcis lilfordi (Lilford's wall lizard)
Lineage: Eukaryota; Metazoa; Chordata; Lepidosauria; Squamata; Lacertidae
Source: the annotation of a GenBank genome assembly